This is an RNA transcript of Dreissena polymorpha, 1827 nucleotides long. It is a transcript of the gene named GTP cyclohydrolase 1 feedback regulatory protein-like, with no coding region annotated. The transcript is spliced from 3 exons. Lineage: Eukaryota; Metazoa; Mollusca; Bivalvia; Myida; Dreissenidae. The record is from RefSeq and is a predicted model, not a curated record.
CCCGCUAUAUAUUUCAAGAUAUGUCAAAACGUAUCGCUAAACAUGGCAGAUUCUUACCUAACUUUUUUUUCAAGAUAUAUCUAAAUGCAUUGCAAAACAUGGCGCGUUCUUACCAACUCUUGCUUUCAUUUUAUAACCCGUUGUAUGGAAUGGAUGACCACAGCUUCUAAAUAUUCCUUAGAUUCACGAAUAAUGUUAAGGAACUCAGAUGUUCAUAGUUACAUUAAAACGAGGACAUUUUAUGGUAAAUUUAUUUGUUAUUCGUCUCGAUAAAUUUGCAAAGAAUGAUAUCAUGUAAUACUGAAUAUCUCUCUAAUUGAAAUUUGUCAAAGCUUAUUGUUUGCUUGUUUUAGUAUCCACAUAUACUUACAUGGAUGUAACUGCUGUUAUACAAAUGAAAGUGUACCAUAUUUAUUAGCACGGAAAGGCCUCGCAGUUCUUAAUAACGAGUGUAUUAAUACAACGUUGUCAGUACACUGGGAUUUGAAAAAAAAACGGUCACGUGAGUGGAUUAUAAAAUCAAAGCGCUGUAGGCGCUGAAGGCCUGGAGCUAAUUUUAGUGUGACGUAAAAUGCAUUUAGGAUGUUUUUGUCCGAAUUUCUCCCUUUGUCCGAAUUUAUACGGAUUGACCCUAGCGGUUGAGUGCAGAAGCUCAGAGACUGUAAGAAAAGACAAUAUUUGUGUAUAUACUACAGUGUACAUAGACGGUGGAGGGCAAACCGAUACUGAUUGUCGGAACGAUAACCUUUUGUUCAACUCUACAGAUCUGGUAGAGGUUCGUCUACAUAGGCGGUGAAGAUAUACAACAACAUGGCCGAAAAAAACUGUUAUUGUUGGCGUCAAAUAAAUCACUUUCAAUAGCCUAAAAUAGCUUUCUAUUACAUAAUUAAUAGAUCAGGAAAGCACUCAUACUUCCUUUGCAAUGUGUAUACAAAAGAAAAUCCACUUAAGCCCAAGUCUAACUAUUGCCAGUAGAGCCCCGGUCCAUCCCGGUUUGCUAACGCCGGUCGACCGGCGAGGACCGGGAUGAUUCGUAGAAAUUGUUUAACGCAGUCACACUAUUUCCCGGUGCCGCUCCGGUUGAAGCCGGUCAACAGCCCGGCAAAGUCCCGGUCAACCCGGACUGGCUACGGUUUAUCCCGGUGAAGCCCCGGCAGAGCCCCGGUUGUCGUCGGUAGUGCCUCGGUUGAGCCCCGGUGAAAGCCGCCAGCGUCCCGGCAGAGCCCUGGUAUACCGUAACACCGCCGGUGCCCUUUCGGUUGUUCCCGGUGCCGCGCCGGUCAUUGCCGCUCCUUCCCGGUGACUCCCGGUUCAUCCCGGAGGAAGAAGUUGAAAUCUCUCCAACAAUCGUUGAUGGUUAUCUCAACGCACGUGAUUUCAGUGUUUUUGGGGCUAAAUACGGGAAAAAUGCCUGGCAAGCGACGAUAAAGCUACAUCCAAGCUUGGUGCUCGAUAAACUCGAAGAAUUGGGUUACCGGAUGGUGUCCAGCGCAUGUAAUGACAAGAUGAUGAUGUGGACGAUGCACGCUCCUCCCGCGAUGAAAUCGAUAGAAGUCCAAAACCCAACUGAUGAGUUUCAUCAAAAGAUAAAAGACUGAUUUGGGGCUACGUGCAUUUAAUAUGUGGACUUUAAACGCUCCUCCCGCGAUGGAAUUAUAAGUCCAUCAACAUCAACAAUUUGAUUACGACUGAUUUUUGGCUACUUUCCUUUUAUCUGCAAGCUAGUAAAAUGCACAUUGCAGUUGCUAAUACAGCUUAAUUACGUUUGAUAUGAUUUAAAUACAGUACCUGUGUCAUAAAGAAAUAUGAAUAAAAUAACAAAUCGAA